This 395-nucleotide unclassified non-coding RNA is filed under the name soil metagenome. RNAcentral describes it as "partial contains 5.8S ribosomal RNA, internal transcribed spacer 2, and large subunit ribosomal RNA". The stretch from base 1 to 122 matches the Rfam family "5.8S ribosomal RNA", at positions 35 to 154 of the family's 154-position model. The record is from RNAcentral.
GAUGAAGAACGCAGCGAAAUGCGAUACUUGGUGUGAAUUGCAGAAUCCCGUGAACCAUCGAGUCUUUGAACGCAAGUUGCGCCCGAAGCCAUCAGGUUGAGGGCACGUCUGCCUGGGCGUCACAUAUCGUUGCCCAAUGCCUAUUGCAGUGCAAUAGGAAUUUCUAGGGCGAAUGAUGGCUUCCCGUGAGCGUUGUUGCCUCGCGGUUGGUUGAAAAUCGAGUCCUUGGUAGGGUGUGCCAUGGUAGAUGGUGGUCGAGUUAGAACGAUACCGAUCAUGUGCAUGCUCCCCAAAAUAUGGCCUCUAUGACCCACACGCGUCUUUUGAUGCUCAUGACGAGACCUCAGGUCAGGCGGGGCUACCCGCUGAAUUUAAGCAUAUCAAUAAGCGGAGGA